GGACGCAACAGUCAGCACAGUCAGUGGACGCGAAACGGUGACGCCGGCGCGUUUCGAUUGUUGUUGAAUCUUGUUUUUUUUUUGUUUCUAUACUUCUGGUCUGAGACUGGCCAUUGCUCUUCUCACAGCCCGGGGCGGCAUUUAUGAUUGUUUGUGGGACAACCCGAUCUAGAGAACAUCUCUUGUUUACAUUUAUUUGUGGAUCACCCAAACCCGCCGUGGUGUAUGUGGUUAGCCGUUAUCAGUGAUUUCGUUCGUAUGGUGUACCGAUAAGAGUGUAGAGUUUAAACCACGCUAGCGUUGAAAGUAAUCGGGUGUUCGUUUGCUGUAGUUUAUGAUCCAGUGACCAGUUCAUACUCCGUGUCUGGUUGACAGCUUGAAGUUCAUAACUUCGCGAAAGUAGGGCUCCAAUUAUGCAACUAAAGUCGGAGACUGCGAAAUAAGUGAUGUAAACUGCACUAAAGUGUGACGGUUGGCGAAUGAGUAGUGAUUCUGUGAGGAAAAGAAAAUCCACUGAUUUUGAGUGAAGAAGAUGUGAUUAGUCCCGGUGCGAGUGAUGAAUAUAAGGAAGAGAUCAUAGAAAUACGAGACGCAUUUUUUUCGUAGCAGUUCUUUACUCAGUAAGUGCAUACCAUACCAGAGAGGCCAAGUGCUAGUGAUAAGAAGACCUAGUUUAGGGAUACUUAAUAGAUAGUUAGUGAAGCUAGUCAGAACAAGUGUACAAGAGAAGAGCAAACGUCUAAAUUGACUGUGAUAAGGUCGGAAAUCUUAAGUGUAACAAGAGAAGUAAAAAUUAUGUCCCCAGCUGAACCAGUUCACCGAGCGUUGGGCCUCGCGCUCCUCACAGUAACUGCUCUGGUGCACGUGCUACACGGUGCCGUUGUUAUAGAAAAGUUCCCGCACGUCGUUGACAACCGGCUCCAGGCGGACCUCCUACCACCAAGCUGUCCAAGCGAAAUCUACUGCCAUGGUAAGCUGCUCGAUACGGUGCAGAUGAUGGCCAUCUACCAGGACUCGAAAACCUUCGUCGAUAUGAAGAUGCGAAAGUCGCCCAACGAAACGUUGGCCUCGUUCAAUGACUUCAUGGCGGAGAAGAAAAAUUCCCCCAGUAAGCAGGACGUUAAAACCUGGGUAGAAUUGAUGUUCGACAAGCCGGGGGCAGAAUUUGAAGAAUGGAUCCCGGACGAUUGGGUAGAGAAUCCAAGCUUUCUGCAGCGUAUCAAGGAUUCGGAGCUGCGUGGCUUUGCCAAAGACCUGAACAGUAUAUGGCACCAGCUGGGUCGCAAAAUGAUCGCCGAUGUUGGGAUUAAUCCCGAUCAGUACUCUAUCAUUCCUGUUGAUCACCCGGUAAUAGUGCCUGGUGGACGAUUCAGAGAGUUCUACUACUGGGACUCGUAUUGGAUCGUACAAGGACUUCUUCUGUCAGAAAUGACCAAGACGACUCGAGGUAUGCUGGAAAAUUUCCUGUCCAUCAUCCAGCGAUACGGUUUUAUUCCAAAUGGCGGUCGUAUCUACUACAGCAUGCGAUCGCAGCCGCCAUUGCUCUGUGGUAUGGUCAAGUCUUACGUCGAUGCAACCAAAGACACUAAAUUUGCUGAAGAUGUCGUCGAAACCCUGGAACGUGAGUUCGAGUUCUUCAUGAAUAAUUACAUCGUUGAAGUAAACGGUCACCAGCUCGCUGCCUAUGGAUAUAAGUCUAGCGGUCCUCGGCCGGAGUCCUACCGGGAGGAUGUGAUCAGUGCUCAGGUAUUCGAAAAGGAAGAUGAUAAGCAGGAUUUCUACUGUGAGCUGAAGGCUGCCGCCGAAAGUGGAAUGGACUUUAGCAGUCGAUGGUUCAUUAAGGAAGGAACGAAUGCUGGAAAUCUGACGGAUUUGAAGUGCCGAUCCAUUAUCGCUGUUGAGCUGAAUGCGAUUCUCUACUGGAACGCUUUGAUCAUUUCGGAAUUCUACUCAAUGAAGAAUGACCUCCAGAAGGCUAACAGGUACGAAGCGAAAGCGGAUGAUAUUAAAAAAGCCAUUGAUGCAGUAUUAUGGAACGAAGAAGAGGGCAUUUGGUUGGAUUACGAUUUGAUCAACAAAAAGCACCGACAUUACUUCACUCCCACCAAUCUUUCUCCGCUGUGGACGGGAUGUUAUGACAAAACAGACGCGAGUCUACCGAAAAAGGUUCUGGCGUACAUCGAGAAACUCGAACUGGACAAGUACCCGGGAGGUGUUCCGAACACCUUGUCCAACACGAACGAACAGUGGGACUUUCCCAAUGUGUGGCCACCGAUGCAGCACAUGUUGAUCAUCGGUCUGGACGGUAUGAACAGCCAGGAAACGAAGGAACUGGCCUUUAGGUGGGCUCAGCGAUGGGUGCGGAGCAACUACAUAGCGUAUAAUGAAACCAAGGCCAUGUUUGAGAAGUACAACGCAGAGGAGCUAGGCGGACAUGGAGGCGGCGGCGAAUACGAAGUCCAGACCGGUUUCGGUUGGUCCAAUGGUGCCGUGAUGGAUUUGAUGAACAAAUAUGGCGACCGGCUUACGACAGACCGUUCCCACCCGCCCAACGUUUCGUCCGAUCAUUUAAUGAACACGGUAAUUUACAUUCUAAAUAUCACUAAACUGUUUGAAUUUCCCAAAACACAACAGAUGACAACAAAAACAACGCCGGUGCCCUGGUGUCCUUUUCGCUAAACACGGGUAUCGUGGCAACGAUAGUGGCCUUUUUGGUUGGCAUAGUUGGGUAAGAAAUAAUUCGCUGAUUCCGAAUUGAUUGAAACCCGUUGAUCAACGCCCAGAACCGAACAUCGUACAAACUAACGCCAAUCAACCCUCGCAAACAUCCGUAUUUACUAAAACGUGAUCUAAAAUUUGACUGUCUAUGCAUGGUAUUAAUGCAGGAAAGAGUACAUGAAACACAACAUACAUUCCUAAUAAAGUAUUUUUUUACUAAUAA
This is an RNA transcript of Topomyia yanbarensis, 2941 nucleotides long. It is a transcript of the gene named trehalase-like, with no coding region annotated. Lineage: Eukaryota; Metazoa; Arthropoda; Insecta; Diptera; Culicidae. The record is from RefSeq and is a predicted model, not a curated record. The transcript has 8 exons.